CUGCUUUGGCAGCACAUAUAUUAAAAUUGGAAUAAGUUAUCAUGGUUCCUGGGCUAGGAUGACUCACAGGUUUGUGAGGAGUUCCAUUUUUAA
This 93-nucleotide small nuclear RNA is filed under the name Microtus ochrogaster (prairie vole). Lineage: Eukaryota; Metazoa; Chordata; Mammalia; Rodentia; Cricetidae. The record is from RNAcentral.